GACGAACGCUGGCGGCGUGCUUAACACAUGCAAGUCGAACGGAAAGGCCCUGCUUUUGGGGGGUGCUCGAGUGGCGAACGGGGGAGUAACACGUGAGUAACCUGCCCUUGACUUUGGGAUAACUUCAGGAAACUGGGGCUAAUACCGGAUAUGAGCUCCUGCUGCAUGGUGGGGGUUGGAAAGUUUCGGCGGUUGGGGAUGGACUCGCGGCUUAUCAGCUUGUUGGUGGGGUAGUGGCUUACCAAGGCUUUGACGGGUAGCCGGCCUGAGAGGGUGACCGGCCACAUUGGGACUGAGGUACGGCCCAGACUCCUACGGGAGGCAGCAGUGGGGAAUAUUGCACAAUGGGCGGAAGCCUGAUGCAGCAACGCCGCGUGCGGGAUGACGGCCUUCGGGUUGUAAACCGCUUUCGCCUGUGACGAAGCGUGAGUGACGGUAAUGGGUAAAGAAGCACCGGCUAACUACGUG
Molecule: ribosomal RNA, 468 nt
Filed under: uncultured bacterium
Lineage: Bacteria
Description: partial 16S ribosomal RNA
Rfam family: Bacterial small subunit ribosomal RNA
Source: RNAcentral